Molecule: transfer RNA, 75 nt
Filed under: bacterium
Lineage: Bacteria
Also listed under: 3 other names
Description: tRNA-His
Rfam family: tRNA
About the family: Transfer RNA (tRNA) molecules are approximately 80 nucleotides in length. Their secondary structure includes four short double-helical elements and three loops (D, anti-codon, and T loops). Further hydrogen bonds mediate the characteristic L-shaped molecular structure. tRNAs have two regions of fundamental functional importance: the anti-codon, which is responsible for specific mRNA codon recognition, and the 3' end, to which the tRNAs corresponding amino acid is attached (by aminoacyl-tRNA synthetases). tRNAs cope with the degeneracy of the genetic code in two manners: having more than one tRNA (with a specific anti-codon) for a particular amino acid; and 'wobble' base-pairing, i.e. permitting non-standard base-pairing at the 3rd anti-codon position.
Source: RNAcentral
GUGGCCGUAGCUCAAGGGUGGAGCGCCAGACUGUGGCUCUGGAGGUUGCGGGUUCAAGUCCCGUCGGCCACCCCA